Molecule: ribosomal RNA, 205 nt
Filed under: Rhodococcus sp. 1139
Lineage: Bacteria; Bacillati; Actinomycetota; Actinomycetes; Mycobacteriales; Nocardiaceae
Description: partial 16S ribosomal RNA
Rfam family: Bacterial small subunit ribosomal RNA
Source: RNAcentral
UUCAACGGAGAGUUUGAUCCUGGCUCAGGACGAACGCUGGCGGCGUGCUUAACACAUGCAAGUCGAGCGGUAAGGCCUUUCGGGGUACACGAGCGGCGAACGGGUGAGUAACACGUGGGUGAUCUGCCCUGCACUUCGGGAUAAGCCUGGGAAACUGGGUCUAAUACCGGAUAUGACCUCCUAUCGCAUGGUGGGUGGUGGAAAG